This 516-nucleotide ribosomal RNA is filed under the name Pseudoalteromonas sp. J2128s. RNAcentral's name for it is "bacterial SSU rRNA". It matches the Rfam family "Bacterial small subunit ribosomal RNA", at positions 199 to 702 of the family's 1533-position model. The record is from RNAcentral. Lineage: Bacteria; Pseudomonadati; Pseudomonadota; Gammaproteobacteria; Alteromonadales; Pseudoalteromonadaceae.
GACCAAAGGGGGCUUCGGCUCUCGCCUUUAGAUUGGCCCAAGUGGGAUUAGCUAGUUGGUGAGGUAAUGGCUCACCAAGGCAACGAUCCCUAGCUGGUUUGAGAGGAUGAUCAGCCACACUGGAACUGAGACACGGUCCAGACUCCUACGGGAGGCAGCAGUGGGGAAUAUUGCACAAUGGGCGCAAGCCUGAUGCAGCCAUGCCGCGUGUGUGAAGAAGGCCUUCGGGUUGUAAAGCACUUUCAGUCAGGAGGAAAGGUUAGUAGUUAAUACCUGCUAGCUGUGACGUUACUGACAGAAGAAGCACCGGCUAACUCCGUGCCAGCAGCCGCGGUAAUACGGAGGGUGCGAGCGUUAAUCGGAAUUACUGGGCGUAAAGCGUACGCAGGCGGUUUGUUAAGCGAGAUGUGAAAGCCCCGGGCUCAACCUGGGAACUGCAUUUCGAACUGGCAAACUAGAGUGUGAUAGAGGGUGGUAGAAUUUCAGGUGUAGCGGUGAAAUGCGUAGAGAUCUGAA